Molecule: transfer RNA, 70 nt
Filed under: Loxodonta africana (African savanna elephant)
Lineage: Eukaryota; Metazoa; Chordata; Mammalia; Proboscidea; Elephantidae
Rfam family: tRNA
About the family: Transfer RNA (tRNA) molecules are approximately 80 nucleotides in length. Their secondary structure includes four short double-helical elements and three loops (D, anti-codon, and T loops).
Source: Rfam by way of RNAcentral
GCAUGGUUAUUCAGUGGUAGAAUUCUCGCCUUCCAUGCAGGAGGCCCAGGUUCGAUUCCUGGCCAAUGCA